GACGAACGCUGGCGGCGUGCUUAACACAUGCGAGUCGAACGGAAAGGCCUGCUUUCCCUUGUGGAUUGCGGGUACUCGAGUGGCGAACGGGUGAGUAACACGUGAGUGAUCUGCCCCCAACUUGGGUAUAAGCCUGGGAAACUGGGUCUAAUUCCCGAUAGGACUGCAGGGUGGUGCCUGUGGUGGAAAACGAUUUUCUAGUGGUUGGGGAUGAGCUCGCGGCCUAUCAGCUUGUUGGUGGGGUAAUGGCCUACCAAGGCGGCGACGGGUAGCCGGACUGGGAGGGUGGACGGCCACACUGGGACUGGGAUCCGGCCCAGACUCCUACGGGAGGCAGCAGUGGGGAAUAUUGCACAAUGGGCGGAAGCCUGAUGCAGCGACGCCGCGUGGGGGAUGACGGCCUUCGGGUUGUAAACUCCUUUCGGCCGCGAGGAAGCCACCUGGUUGGAAGGGUGGUGACGGUAGUGGUAGAAGAAGCACCGGCUAACUACGUG
This 494-nucleotide ribosomal RNA is filed under the name uncultured bacterium. RNAcentral's name for it is "partial 16S ribosomal RNA". It matches the Rfam family "Bacterial small subunit ribosomal RNA", at positions 28 to 507 of the family's 1533-position model. The record is from RNAcentral.